RNAcentral lists this ribosomal RNA (492 nucleotides) under uncultured bacterium. RNAcentral describes it as "partial 16S ribosomal RNA". It matches the Rfam family "Bacterial small subunit ribosomal RNA", at positions 29 to 507 of the family's 1533-position model. The record is from RNAcentral.
AGUGAACGCUGGCGGUAGGCCUAACACAUGCAAGUCGAACGGCAGCACAGUAAGAGCUUGCUCUUACGGGUGGCGAGUGGCGGACGGGUGAGGAAUACAUCGGAAUCUACUUUUUCGGGGGGGAUAACGUAGGGAAACUUACGCUAAUACCGCAUACGACCUACGGGAGAAAGCAGGGGAUCUUCGGACCUUGCGCGAUUGAAUGAGCCGAUGUCGGAUUAGCUAGUUGGCGGGGUAAAGGCCCACCGAGGCGACGAUCCGUAGCUGGUCUGAGAGGAUGAUCAGCCACACUGGAACUGAGACACGGUCCAGACUCCUACGGGAGGCAGCAGUGGGGAAUAUUGGACAAUGGGCGCAAGCCUGAUCCAGCCAUACCGCGUGGGUGAAGAAGGCCUUCGGGUUGUAAAGCCCUUUUGUUGGGAAAGAAAAGCAGCAGGUUAAUACCCCGCUGUUCUGACGGUACCCAAAGAAUAAGCACCGGCUAACUUCGUG